AAAACAUCUCUUCUUGUUAGUUUUUGAAGUAUGGCCUGCCCACUGACUUAUUUGUUGAAGGGCCGCGGUAUUUUGACCGUGCAAAGGUAGCAUAAUCAUUAGUUCUUUAAUUGUGAUCUGGUAUGAAUGGCUUGACGAGGUAUAAUCUGUCUUAAUUGUAUUGUUGAUUGAAUUUAGUUUUUGAGUUAAAAUUCUUAGAUGUUUUUAUGGGACGAGAAGACCCUAUAGAGUUUUACAUUUAUUUCUUCAUUACUUUUAUUUGUUUGUUUUUAUUGUAAAGUAGUUUGAAUGUUUUGUUGGGGUGAUGGGAGGAAUUUUUUUAACUCCUCUUUGUUUUUAUAUACUUAUUUGUGUUUUUUUUGAUCCAUUUGUUUUGAUUAUAAGAUUAAAUUACCUUAGGGAUAACAGCGUUAUCUUCCCUGAGAGUUCUUAUUGGCGGGAAGGUUUGCGACCUCGAUGUUGGAUUAAGAUUAAUUUUCGGUGCAGAAGCUGGAAUUGAUUAGGUCUGUUCGACCUUUAAAAUCUUACGUGAUCU
Molecule: ribosomal RNA, 535 nt
Filed under: Termitinae sp. ENT-MG359
Lineage: Eukaryota; Metazoa; Arthropoda; Insecta; Blattodea; Termitidae
Description: partial small subunit ribosomal RNA
Rfam family: Bacterial large subunit ribosomal RNA
Source: RNAcentral